RNAcentral lists this long non-coding RNA (1063 nucleotides) under Homo sapiens (human). Its description in RNAcentral is "HSALNT0233140". Lineage: Eukaryota; Metazoa; Chordata; Mammalia; Primates; Hominidae. The record is from RNAcentral.
UAUUGACUUUUUAUUAUUAGUCACUGUUCAUAAUUUGUUUCAACCAAAAGACAGUACACACAGCAGAAUUCUAAUGCAUCCCAUGUAAAUGUUUACAUCCAUUUUAUUCCUCACUCGCCUCUAAGACUUAUCAUUUAACUUUAAAUAACACAGUGGGAGUUCAUAAAGGAAAGAGUUCAGAAGCUCUUUCCCAUGGGGCCCCCAAAUGGAAAACAAAAACAAAACACACAAAGCGCAACUGGAACCCUGUCGAUGGGACCCACUCACUGAUAUUGCUUGAAAAAGUUAUUCACUUCCAGUUCCAGUUUAGGACACUGUGGUUAAAAUACAUUCACUAGAAAAAAAUAGACACAUUCAAACUCCUUUCCCCUAGUUCUCAUGGCCCAAAUAUUUUCCAAUGCAGAAGAUAAUGAAGUUGAACCUUGAAAGCAGUACUCCCUAACUUCCAAUAACCAUUAGUGUUGGACAGUUUUAAAAGUCUAUUUUCAUAUAUAACAGAUGAUCACUAUGCACAGCCUAAAACUUCCGUGACUGUCCAAACCACCUCAAGGUAACAGCACCAAAGCACUGUGGGAGAAGCUGCUGCAAGGCCAAGUGAGAGGAAAACUAAUUCUGAUCCUAGAAACUAAGGCACGCUGAAGCUUUCAAAGAUCCAAUCAUUUGAAACAGUCUUCACAACCAUCAGUAUCCUAGGCAGUUAUUUGGCUGCUAGUCCUUCAGUAUGGUGCUGAGCUGGUUAGCUACAAAUAUAAGAGAGAAAAUAAAGCCUCUACACAAAGAGGAAUGUUAAGACAAAUUCUAUUCAAGAAAUCCACCAACAUUAUGUUAAUCCUAUCAUGUUUCACAGCAUUAAGUAUCCAUCCAAUGAAAUCAGUCUGCAACAUUUACCCAGUGGAGUAAGUUUUAGCAGAUCUUGCUCAUACACACUAGUAAGACCAGAAACUUUCCCGUGGAGCCUUUAGUUCAACUCCAGUUUGUCAAAUGUUAGGAAUAUUCCAGCAUCUGAUACAGAGCUAGAUUUGACAAGACACUGAAGAUUUUAAGUAAAGGCUUGGUGAAAUGA